RNAcentral lists this ribosomal RNA (411 nucleotides) under Triticum aestivum (bread wheat). RNAcentral's name for it is "partial small subunit ribosomal RNA". The record is from RNAcentral. Lineage: Eukaryota; Viridiplantae; Streptophyta; Magnoliopsida; Poales; Poaceae.
AUGUCUACAAUUUUUUUUCUUGGGACCAAGUGUGUUUUUGCAACUUUCCUUCUCUCUGUUAAAACUAAAACUCUAUUUUUUCUUGCUGAGAGUUGGGUUGGCAAUAUAAACAUCAAGGGGGAGAUUGUGAGUCCAUGUGGUGAUACCCUUAAUUUUGUGAUGAUUAUAUUGCCAAUGCUUUUGCUCACUUUGAGAGUUAUUUUAAUGAAGUUUGAAAAUCACAGUUUGUCGGAUCAAGGACAUGAUCUAUUUUAUGUGACUUAUCUGGAUGGUGUUGAUUGUAUUAAACUGUUAAUUUGGAUUGACUUGGAUCAAGCUCAGGAAGUUUGUGCUCGCAAUAGUUGCUUGUUUCCAUUGUGUGCAGGUUCCAGUGAGUGCGGCGGUAGUCGACAACGAGGAUGGUUGGCAUGA